GGGCUAGGCAGGUUUCUGCAGCACCCACUUCCCAGUGGAAAAGUGCAGGAUUCCCAAAGACUGUUGAGCAAGAGGCUCAAAUUGUCUUCAGAUUGGGUCUAAUCUAGCUAGAACCAUUCGGGAUCCAGGAUGAAGCUGGAUCCAGUUACAGACCUCCCUGAGAAGUGAAGAGAGGUCCAGAGACACCUACAUCUCCAGCUGACACGGUCUCAAGGGUUCCAGGGCCCUCCCUCAAGGCGCGGACUUCGUGAGAAAUGGACCCACAACUCAGGAGCCGAAACAGACACACCCAGCCUGGUGACGUCCCCACCAGCCAGUGACCCGCGGCAGCCCACUCUCACUGAGAGGAAGAAGAAACUUCCCCCUGGCUUCCCAAAGACCACCACCACUGCUCAC
This is a long non-coding RNA of Neomonachus schauinslandi (Hawaiian monk seal), 396 nucleotides long. RefSeq lists it as uncharacterized. Lineage: Eukaryota; Metazoa; Chordata; Mammalia; Carnivora; Phocidae. The transcript has 3 exons. The record is from RefSeq and is a predicted model, not a curated record.